UAAGGAAUAUUGGUCAAUGGACGCAAGUCUGAACCAGCCAUGCCGCGUGAAGGAUGAAGGUCCUCUGGAUUGUAAACUUCUUUUAUCUGGGACGAAAACGGGAUUUUUAUCCCAAUUGACGGUACCAGAGGAAUAAGCACCGGCUAACUCCGUGCCAGCAGCCGCGGUAAUACGGAGGGUGCGAGCGUUAUCCGGAUUUACUGGGUUUAAAGGGUGCGUAUGUGGGCUUAUAAGUCAGUGGUGAAAUCUCCGAGCUUAACUUGGAAACUGCCGUUGAUACUAUAGGUCUUGAAUUAUCUGGAGGAAAGCGGAAUAUGUCAUGUAGCGGUGAAAUGCUUAGAUAUGACAUAGAACACCAAUUGCGAAGGCAGCUUACUACAUAUAAAUUGACGCUGAGGCACGAAAGCGUGG
RNAcentral lists this ribosomal RNA (411 nucleotides) under uncultured bacterium. RNAcentral describes it as "bacterial SSU rRNA". It matches the Rfam family "Bacterial small subunit ribosomal RNA", at positions 355 to 764 of the family's 1533-position model. The record is from RNAcentral.